Molecule: ribosomal RNA, 329 nt
Filed under: uncultured eukaryote
Lineage: Eukaryota
Description: partial 18S ribosomal RNA
Rfam family: Eukaryotic small subunit ribosomal RNA
Source: RNAcentral
CCCUUAGAUGUUCUGGGCCGCACGCGCGCUACACUGAUGCAUUCAACGAGUCUAAAACCUGCUCUGAUAGGGGUGGGUAAUCUUUUGAAUGUGCAUCGUGAUUGGGAUAGAUGAUUGCAAUUUUUCAUCUUCAACGAGGAAUGCCUAGUAAACGCAAGUCAUCAGCUUGCAUUGAUUACGUCCCUGCCCUUUGUACACACCGCCCGUCGCUCCUACCGAUUGAAUGAUCCGAUGAAUAUCAUGGAUUGAGGAUUAUAGCAGGUUCGCCUGUCUUGAUCUUCGAGAAGUGAAGUAAAUCUUAUCAUUUAGAGGAGGGAGAAGUCGUAACA